This 479-nucleotide ribosomal RNA is filed under the name Callistoctopus minor (long arm octopus). Its description in RNAcentral is "partial 16S ribosomal RNA". It matches the Rfam family "Bacterial large subunit ribosomal RNA", at positions 1852 to 2552 of the family's 2925-position model. The record is from RNAcentral. Lineage: Eukaryota; Metazoa; Mollusca; Cephalopoda; Octopoda; Octopodidae.
GUUGGGCCUGCUCGGUGAGAAGAAAAAUUUAACAGCUGCGGUAUUAUAACUGUACUAAGGUAGCAUAAUAAUUUGCCUUAUAAAUUAAGGCUAGAAUGAACGGUUUGACGAAAAUUAGACUGUCUUUAUUUUAUUUGUUAGAAAUUAAUUUUUAUAGUGAAAAAGCUUGAAUAAUUUAAGGGGACGAGAAGACCCUAUUGAGCUUUAUUUAUUAAUAUUUAAAUAUAAAUAUAUAAUUUAUAUUAUGAAAAUUAUGUUGUAUAUAUAUAUAUUUAAUUGGAUUUAAUUUUGAUUGGGGUGAUCAAGGAAUAAAGAUAAAGUAACUUCCUUAAAAUUAAUGAUUGUUUUUAUAGAGUAAUAAACCAAGUUUUUUGCUUAUAAGAUAAGUUACCAUAGGGGUAACAGCGUAAUUUUUUUUGAGAGUUCAUAUUGAAAAAAGAGAUUGCGACCUCGAUGUUGGAUUAAAAAUUACCUUAAGG